AUGGGCGGGCGUGCUUACACAUGCAGUCGAACGGGAUCCAUCAGGCUUUGCUUGGUGGUGAGAGUGGCGAACGGGUGAGUAAUGCGUGACCGACCUGCCCCAUACACCGGAAUAGCUCCUGGAAACGGGUGGUAAUGCCGGAUGCUCCGACUCCUCGCAUGGGGUGUCGGGAAAGAUUUCAUCGGUAUGGGAUGGGGUCGCGUCCUAUCAGGUAGUCGGCGGGGUAACGGCCCACCGAGCCUACGACGGGUAGCCGGCCUGAGAGGGCGACCGGCCACAUUGGGACUGAGAUACGGCCCAGACUCCUACGGGAGGCAGCAGUGGGGAAUAUUGCACAAUGGGCGCAAGCCUGAUGCAGCGACGCCGCGUGCGGGAUGACGGCCUUCGGGUUGUAAACCGCUUUUGAUCGGGAGCAAGCCUUCGGGUGAGUGUACCUUUCGAAUAAGCACCGGCUAACUACGUGCCAGCAGCCGCGGUAAUACGUAGGGUGCAAGCGUUAUCCGGAAUUAUUGGGCGUAAAGGGCUCGUAGGCGGUUCGUCGCGUCCGGUGUGAAAGUCCAUCGCUUAACGGUGGAUCUGCGCCGGGUACGGGCGGGCUGGAGUGCGGUAGGGGAGACUGGAAUUCCCGGUGUAACGGUGGAAUGUGUAGAUAUCGGGAAGAACACCAAUGGCGAAGGCAGGUCUCUGGGCCGUUACUGACGCUGAGGAGCGAAAGCGUGGGGAGCGAACAGGAUUAGAUACCCUGGUAGUCCACGCCGUAAACGGUGGAUGCUGGAUGUGGGGCCCGUUCCACGGGUUCCGUGUCGGAGCUAACGCGUUAAGCAUCCCGCCUGGGGAGUACGGCCGCAAGGCUAAAACUCAAAGAAAUUGACGGGGGCCCGCACAAGCGGCGGAGCAUGCGGAUUAAUUCGAUGCAACGCGAAGAACCUUACCUGGGCUUGACAUGUUCCCGACAGCCGUAGAGAUAUGGCCUCCCUUCGGGGCGGGUUCACAGGUGGUGCAUGGUCGUCGUCAGCUCGUGUCGUGAGAUGUUGGGUUAAGUCCCGCAACGAGCGCAACCCUCGCCCUGUGUUGCCAGCACGUCAUGGUGGGAACUCACGGGGGACCGCCGGGGUCAACUCGGAGGAAGGUGGGGAUGACGUCAGAUCAUCAUGCCCCUUACGUCCAGGGCUUCACGCAUGCUACAAUGGCCGGUACAACGGGAUGCGACACGGCGACGUGGAGCGGAUCCCUGAAAACCGGUCUCAGUUCGGAUUGGAGUCUGCAACCCGACUCCAUGAAGGCGGAGUCGCUAGUAAUCGCGGAUCAGCAACGCCGCGGUGAAUGCGUUCCCGGGCCUUGUACACACCGCCCGUCAAGUCAUGAAAGUGGGUAGCACCCGAAGCCGGUGGCCUAACCCUUUGUGGAUGGAGCCGUCUAAGGAGACUGG
This 1429-nucleotide ribosomal RNA is filed under the name Bifidobacterium pseudocatenulatum. RNAcentral describes it as "bacterial SSU rRNA". It matches the Rfam family "Bacterial small subunit ribosomal RNA". Lineage: Bacteria; Bacillati; Actinomycetota; Actinomycetes; Bifidobacteriales; Bifidobacteriaceae. The record is from RNAcentral.